RNAcentral lists this ribosomal RNA (448 nucleotides) under uncultured bacterium. Its description in RNAcentral is "partial 16S ribosomal RNA". It matches the Rfam family "Bacterial small subunit ribosomal RNA", at positions 328 to 793 of the family's 1533-position model. The record is from RNAcentral.
CGCCCAGACUCCUACGGGAGGCAGCAGUGGGGAAUAUUGCACAAUGGGGGAAACCCUGAUGCAGCGACGCCGCGUGAGCGAUGAAGUAUUUCGGUAUGUAAAGCUCUAUCAGCAGGGAAGAAAAUGACGGUACCUGACUAAGAAGCCCCGGCUAACUACGUGCCAGCAGCCGCGGUAAUACGUAGGGGGCAAGCGUUAUCCGGAUUUACUGGGUGUAAAGGGAGCGUAGACGGCUGUGCAAGCCAGAUGUGAAAGCCCGGGGCUCAACCCCGGGACUGCAUUUGGAACUGUGUGGCUGGAGUGUCGGAGAGGCAGGCGGAAUUCCUAGUGUAGCGGUGAAAUGCGUAGAUAUUAGGAGGAACACCAGUGGCGAAGGCGGCCUGCUGGACGAUGACUGACGUUGAGGCUCGAAAGCGUGGGGAGCAAACAGGAUUAGAUACCCUUGUAC